Molecule: ribosomal RNA, 2771 nt
Filed under: Klebsiella pneumoniae
Lineage: Bacteria; Pseudomonadati; Pseudomonadota; Gammaproteobacteria; Enterobacterales; Enterobacteriaceae
Description: bacterial LSU rRNA
Rfam family: Bacterial large subunit ribosomal RNA
Source: RNAcentral
AGCGUACACGGUGGAUGCCCUGGCAGUCAGAGGCGAUGAAGGACGUGCUAAUCUGCGAAAAGCGUCGGUAAGGUGAUAUGAACCGUUAUAACCGGCGAUGUCCGAAUGGGGAAACCCAGUGCAAUUCGUUGCACUAUCGUUAACUGAAUACAUAGGUUAACGAGGCGAACCGGGGGAACUGAAACAUCUAAGUACCCCGAGGAAAAGAAAUCAACCGAGAUUCCCCCAGUAGCGGCGAGCGAACGGGGAGCAGCCCAGAGUCUGAAUCAGCUUGUGUGUUAGUGGAACGGUCUGGAAAGUCCGACGGUACAGGGUGAUAGUCCCGUACACCAAAAUGCACAGGUUGUGAACUCGAAGAGUAGGGCGGGACACGUGGUAUCCUGUCUGAAUAUGGGGGGACCAUCCUCCAAGGCUAAAUACUCCUGACUGACCGAUAGUGAACCAGUACCGUGAGGGAAAGGCGAAAAGAACCCCGGCGAGGGGAGUGAAAAAGAACCUGAAACCGUGUACGUACAAGCAGUGGGAGCACCUUCGGGUGUGACUGCGUACCUUUUGUAUAAUGGGUCAGCGACUUAUAUUCUGUAGCAAGGUUAACCGUAUAGGGGAGCCGCAGGGAAACCGAGUCUUAACUGGGCGUUAAGUUGCAGGGUAUAGACCCGAAACCCGGUGAUCUAGCCAUGGGCAGGUUGAAGGUUGGGUAACACUAACUGGAGGACCGAACCGACUAAUGUUGAAAAAUUAGCGGAUGACUUGUGGCUGGGGGUGAAAGGCCAAUCAAACCGGGAGAUAGCUGGUUCUCCCCGAAAGCUAUUUAGGUAGCGCCUCGUGAACUCAUCUUCGGGGGUAGAGCACUGUUUCGGCUAGGGGGUCAUCCCGACUUACCAACCCGAUGCAAACUACGAAUACCGAAGAAUGUUAUCACGGGAGACACACGGCGGGUGCUAACGUCCGUCGUGAAGAGGGAAACAACCCAGACCGCCAGCUAAGGUCCCAAAGUCACAGUUAAGUGGGAAACGAUGUGGGAAGGCACAGACAGCCAGGAUGUUGGCUUAGAAGCAGCCAUCAUUUAAAGAAAGCGUAAUAGCUCACUGGUCGAGUCGGCCUGCGCGGAAGAUGUAACGGGGCUAAACUGUGCACCGAAGCUGCGGCAGCGACACUAUGUGUUGUUGGGUAGGGGAGCGUUCUGUAAGCCUGCGAAGGUGUGCUGUGAGGCAUGCUGGAGGUAUCAGAAGUGCGAAUGCUGACAUAAGUAACGAUAAAGCGGGUGAAAAGCCCGCUCGCCGGAAGACCAAGGGUUCCUGUCCAACGUUAAUCGGGGCAGGGUGAGUCGACCCCUAAGGCGAGGCCGAAAGGCGUAGUCGAUGGGAAACAGGUUAAUAUUCCUGUACUUGGUGUUACUGCGAAGGGGGGACGGAGAAGGCUAUGUUAGCCGGGCGACGGUUGUCCCGGUUUAAGCAUGUAGGCUGGUUAUCCAGGCAAAUCCGGAUAAUCAAGGCUGAGGUGUGAUGACGAGGCACUACGGUGCUGAAGUAACAAAUGCCCUGCUUCCAGGAAAAGCCUCUAAGCAUCAGGUAACAUUAAAUCGUACCCCAAACCGACACAGGUGGUCAGGUAGAGAAUACCAAGGCGCUUGAGAGAACUCGGGUGAAGGAACUAGGCAAAAUGGUGCCGUAACUUCGGGAGAAGGCACGCUGGUGUGUAGGUGAAGUCCCUGCGGAUGGAGCUGAGACCAGUCGAAGAUACCAGCUGGCUGCAACUGUUUAUUAAAAACACAGCACUGUGCAAACACGAAAGUGGACGUAUACGGUGUGACGCCUGCCCGGUGCCGGAAGGUUAAUUGAUGGGGUUAUCCGUAAGGAGAAGCUCUUGAUCGAAGCCCCGGUAAACGGCGGCCGUAACUAUAACGGUCCUAAGGUAGCGAAAUUCCUUGUCGGGUAAGUUCCGACCUGCACGAAUGGCGUAAUGAUGGCCAGGCUGUCUCCACCCGAGACUCAGUGAAAUUGAACUCGCUGUGAAGAUGCAGUGUACCCGCGGCAAGACGGAAAGACCCCGUGAACCUUUACUAUAGCUUGACACUGAACAUUGAGCCUUGAUGUGUAGGAUAGGUGGGAGGCUUUGAAGCGUGGACGCCAGUCUGCGUGGAGCCAACCUUGAAAUACCACCCUUUAAUGUUUGAUGUUCUAACGUUGGCCCCUGACCGGGGUUGCGGACAGUGUCUGGUGGGUAGUUUGACUGGGGCGGUCUCCUCCCAAAGCGUAACGGAGGAGCACGAAGGUUAGCUAAUCCUGGUCGGACAUCAGGAGGUUAGUGCAAUGGCAUAAGCUAGCUUGACUGCGAGCGUGACGGCGCGAGCAGGUGCGAAAGCAGGUCAUAGUGAUCCGGUGGUUCUGAAUGGAAGGGCCAUCGCUCAACGGAUAAAAGGUACUCCGGGGAUAACAGGCUGAUACCGCCCAAGAGUUCAUAUCGACGGCGGUGUUUGGCACCUCGAUGUCGGCUCAUCACAUCCUGGGGCUGAAGUAGGUCCCAAGGGUAUGGCUGUUCGCCAUUUAAAGUGGUACGCGAGCUGGGUUUAGAACGUCGUGAGACAGUUCGGUCCCUAUCUGCCGUGGGCGCUGGAGAAUUGAGGGGGGCUGCUCCUAGUACGAGAGGACCGGAGUGGACGCAUCACUGGUGUUCGGGUUGUCAUGCCAAUGGCACUGCCCGGUAGCUAAAUGCGGAAGAGAUAAGUGCUGAAAGCAUCUAAGCACGAAACUUGCCCCGAGAUGAGUUCU